CAGCCGCCGCGGGAAUACGAAGGGCGCAAGCGUUACUCGGAAUUACUGGGCGUAAAGCGUGCGUAGGUGGUGGUUUAAGUCCGUUGUGAAAGCCCUGGGCUCAACCUGGGAAUUGCAGUGGAUACUGGGUCACUAGAGUGUGGUAGAGGAUAGUGGAAUUUCCGGUGUAGCAGUGAAAUGCGUAGAGAUCGGAAGGAACAUCUGUGGCGAAGGCGACUAUCUGGGCCAACACUGACACUGAGGCACGAAAGCGUGGGGAGCAAACAGGAUUAGAUACCCCAGUAGUCCCUGUCUCUUAUAC
Molecule: ribosomal RNA, 301 nt
Filed under: uncultured bacterium
Lineage: Bacteria
Description: partial 16S ribosomal RNA
Rfam family: Bacterial small subunit ribosomal RNA
Source: RNAcentral